GAUGAACGCUGGCGGCGUGCCUAAUACAUGCAAGUCGAGCGAACAGACGAGGAGCUUGCUCCUCUGACGUUAGCGGCGGACGGGUGAGUAACACGUGGAUAACCUACCUAUAAGACUGGGAUAACUUCGGGAAACCGGAGCUAAUACCGGAUAAUAUAUUGAACCGCAUGGUUCAAUAGUGAAAGACGGUUUUGCUGGCACUUAUAGAUGGAUCCGCGCCGCAUUAGCUAGUUGGUAAGGUAACGGCUUACCAAGGCGACGAUGCGUAGCCGACCUGAGAGGGUGGUCGGCCACACUGGAACUGGGACACGGACCAGACUCCUACGGGAGGCAGCAGUAGGGAAUCUGCCGCAAUGGGCGAAAGCCUGACGGAGCAGCGCCGCGUGAGUGAUGAAGGUGUUCGGAUCGUAAAGCUCUGUUAUUAGGGAAGAACAAAUGUGUAAGUAACUAUGCACGUCUUGACGGUACCUAAUCAGAAAGCCACGGCUAACUACGUG
This 497-nucleotide ribosomal RNA is filed under the name uncultured bacterium. RNAcentral describes it as "partial 16S ribosomal RNA". It matches the Rfam family "Bacterial small subunit ribosomal RNA", at positions 28 to 507 of the family's 1533-position model. The record is from RNAcentral.